UUGUAUUUUUUCUGUCUCUUCCUCUGAUAUUCACCUAUUGUUAGCAAAACUCGAUGGUUAUUCAGUAGGAAAAGAAAUCUGAUAAAGAAAUGAAGAGAUCGACAGAACUGCAACAGCAAAAAAAAUGGAUAUUCAAGCACAAAAAAAACUGAUGAAGAAAUGAAGAAAUUGGUAGAACGACAAUAGAGGGUAAAAGCGAAGUUUCAUAUGAAAAGCCUUCAGCUGAUGAACAC
Camelina sativa (false flax) is the source of this 233-nucleotide non-coding RNA. The record is from RefSeq and is a predicted model, not a curated record. Lineage: Eukaryota; Viridiplantae; Streptophyta; Magnoliopsida; Brassicales; Brassicaceae.